RNAcentral lists this ribosomal RNA (196 nucleotides) under uncultured bacterium. Its description in RNAcentral is "partial 16S ribosomal RNA". It matches the Rfam family "Bacterial small subunit ribosomal RNA", at positions 335 to 524 of the family's 1533-position model. The record is from RNAcentral.
ACUCCUACGGGAGGCAGCAGUGGGGAAUCUUGCGCAAUGGGCGAAAGCCUGACGCAGCGACGCCGCGUGAGUGAUGAAGGCCUUCGGGUUGUAAAGCACUUUAAGUUGGGAAGAAAAAACUCGCUCUAACACAGUGAGUCUUGACGGUACCGACAGAAUAAGCACCGGCUAACUCUGUGCCAGCAGCCGCGGUAAU